This 468-nucleotide ribosomal RNA is filed under the name uncultured bacterium. RNAcentral describes it as "partial 16S ribosomal RNA". It matches the Rfam family "Bacterial small subunit ribosomal RNA", at positions 28 to 507 of the family's 1533-position model. The record is from RNAcentral.
GACGAACGCUGGCGGCGUGCUUAACACAUGCAAGUCGAACGGAAAGGCCCUGCUUUUGUGGGGUGCUCGAGUGGCGAACGGGUGAGUAACACGUGAGUAACCUGCCCUUGACUUUGGGAUAACUUCAGGAAACUGGGGCUAAUACCGGAUAGGAGCUCCUGCUGCAUGGUGGGGGUUGGAAAGUUUCGGCGGUUGGGGAUGGACUCGCGGCUUAUCAGCUUGUUGGUGGGGUAGUGGCUUACCAAGGCUUUGACGGGUAGCCGGCCUGAGAGGGUGACCGGCCACAUUGGGACUGAGAUGCGGCCCAGACUCCUACGGGAGGCAGCAGGGGGGAAUAUUGCACAAUGGGCGGAAGCCUGGUGCAGCAACGCCGCGUGCGGGAUAGCGGCCUUCGGGUUGUAAACCGCUUUCGCCUGUGACGAAGCGUGAGUGACGGUAAUGGGUAAAGAAGCACCGGCUAACUACGUG